Molecule: long non-coding RNA, 629 nt
Filed under: Rattus norvegicus (Norway rat)
Lineage: Eukaryota; Metazoa; Chordata; Mammalia; Rodentia; Muridae
Description: long non-coding RNA NONRATT002725
Source: RNAcentral
GAACAAAAACUGCAAAGGAGGAAAUACUGGAGCAAAUAUUGAAACAGAGACUGAAGGAAAGGCCAUCCAAAGACUGCCACACCUGGGGGUCUGUCGCAUAUGGAGCCACCAAAGCCAGUCUCAAUUGUUGAUACCAAGAAAUGCUUACUGAGUGGAGCCUGAUAUGGAUGCCUCCUCAGAGGCUCUGCCAGAGCCUUACUGAUACAGAUUAAGAUGUUUGCAGCUAACCAUCAGACUGAGUACCUGGGCCUAAAUGGAGAAAUUAGAAAAGGACUGAAGAAGCUGAAGGAGUGUGCAACCCCGUAGAAAGAACAACAAUAUCAACCCACAGGACCACCCAGUGCUCCCAGAUAGUAAACCACAACCAAAGAGUAUACAUGAGGGAACUCAUUGCUCCAGCUGCAUAUGUAGCAGAGGAUGGGAUUGUCUCGCAACAAUAGGAGGGGAAGCCCUUGGUCCUGUGAAGGCUCUUUUCUACAGUGUAAGGGAAUGACAGGUUGUUGAGGCAGGAAUGGGAUGGUGGGAAUUGAGGCAUCCUUAUAGAAGCAGGGGGAGGAGGGAUGGGAGAGAAGGGAACCAGGAAACUGAAUAACAUUUGAAAUGUAAAUACAUAAAAUAUCAAAUAAAAA